GCAGGGAAUUUUCCGCAAUGGGCGCAAGCCUGACGGAGCAACGCCGCGUGGGGGAGGACGCCCUUCGGGGUGUAAACCUCUGUUCGGGGGGACGAGGAAGGACGGUACCCCCGGAGCAAGGUCCGGCUAACUACGUGCCAGCAGCCGCGGUAAGACGUAGGGACCGAGCGUUGUCCGGAGUUAUUGGGCGUAAAGCGCGCGCAGGUGGCCGCGUUAGCCUGGCGUGAAAGCCCCCGGCUCAACCGGGGAGAGUCGUCGGGGACGGCGUGGCUUGAGGGCGACAGGGGUCGGUGGAAUGCCCGGUGUAGUGGUGAAAUGCGUAGAGAUCGGGCGGAACACCCGUGGCGAAGGCGGCCGGCUGGGUCGCUUCUGACACUGAGGCGCGAAGGCGUGGGGAGCGAACGGGAUUAGAAACCCGAGUAGUCC
Molecule: ribosomal RNA, 426 nt
Filed under: uncultured bacterium
Lineage: Bacteria
Description: bacterial SSU rRNA
Rfam family: Bacterial small subunit ribosomal RNA
Source: RNAcentral